Molecule: ribosomal RNA, 309 nt
Filed under: Triticum aestivum (bread wheat)
Lineage: Eukaryota; Viridiplantae; Streptophyta; Magnoliopsida; Poales; Poaceae
Description: partial small subunit ribosomal RNA
Source: RNAcentral
AUGUAUCCAGUGGCUUGGGCAGUCGUGGAGCAGGAAACAAAUGAGAGUUGGAAGUGGUUCAUUGGGUUGCUUAUCAAAGAUCUAGACAUCAACAAUAAUGGAGAAGGGUGGGUCUUCAUUUCUGAUCAGCAGAAGGGUCUUAUUAACGCCAUGGCAGAUUAUCUACCAAAUGCAGAGCAUAGGAUGUGUGCUCGACAUAUAUAUGCGAAUUGGAUAGGGCGCAUGACUGGCAGAAAAAGUUCUGGGCAGUGGCUAAAGCAUCCAACAAACAAGACUUCAACUACUAUAAAGCAAAGCUUGCACAAUUAA